UUCAAAACGGGCGAUGGAGCUCGCCCCAACCGCCUGCAAACCGCCGCAAACGGCAGAGUUUAAGGCUGAUGGCUCCUACACUUCC
Molecule: non-coding RNA, 85 nt
Filed under: Leptolyngbya valderiana
Lineage: Bacteria; Bacillati; Cyanobacteriota; Cyanophyceae; Leptolyngbyales; Leptolyngbyaceae
Description: Fluoride sequence
Rfam family: Fluoride riboswitch aptamer (crcB RNA motif)
Source: RNAcentral